RNAcentral lists this long non-coding RNA (6598 nucleotides) under Sus scrofa (pig). RNAcentral describes it as "lncRNA (ENSSSCG00030018639.1)". The record is from RNAcentral. Lineage: Eukaryota; Metazoa; Chordata; Mammalia; Artiodactyla; Suidae.
CUGAGAAAACAAUUAAUAAGGCAAAAGGAGUCUUAAAAAUAUAUACAAUUAAUACCUUCAGAAAGCCAGGAGGAAAUCACAUCUUUGAGACAAAUAGGCCUUAAGAAGAACCAUUAAAGACCUUAGAAAGAAAAAGUGAGUAUACAAACAAAUGCACCAAAAUACCAAACCUCCCAACAACUCAAAAGACCGGCUGAUUAGCUGAAUUAACAAUAGCUUUCGAGUUAAUUUGUGUGUUGGAAGAUCAAGCUGAGCAAUUCUCCUAGGGCACGGGGAAAAAGACAAGGCUAUAAAAAAUGCUAAAGGAAAAGCAAGAGACAUGAAAUGCAGGAAUUGUAACUCGCCCUAAAAAAGUUGAAUCAUUCAAAAAAAUGUUCAUGGCAGCUUUACUUACCACAGUCAAGGUCUCCAUCAGCAGGGGAGUAAGUAAACGAACUGGGCACAGUUAUGCGACAAAACACUCACCAGAAACAAAAAGGAACAGGCUGGAGACACACACCACCUGAAGGGGUGUCAGACCUGCGAGCAAGGCCAUCUGCGAGAGGGCUCACGGCAUGCGCCUGCUUACACGAGAUUCUAGUGUGACAGAAACCAGAGCAGUGCUUGGCUCGGUGGAAAAAGGCAGGAGGGAACUCAGUGAGAUAAUGGAAUUAACAAGUUAGAGCGUAAUAAAAAAAAAUCUAUGAUAGACACACAAAAAUUCUGUACCUCCAAACCCAGAGAUUAGAUACUGUUUUCAAACACAUGCGGAGACGCUGUCAACUAGGAACUGUAUUUUGGAUUACAUGGAAAUUUCCAAAAAUUCCCCAAAGGCAGAAAAUAAUUACAAAGAAAUUCAUAGUUGAAAUGUAAGAUCAUAAAUAAACAACAAUAACAGCUCUCUAUAUCUAAAUCCAUAGGAUACGGUCAAAGUGGUAUGCACAGAAAAACACGUAGCCUUACACCUGCUUAUUAACCAACCAAGUGGACUGAAAUAAGCUUUAAGUUUGGGAAAGCAGAAAAGCAGGUGAUGAAUACCAAAAGAGCAGGUUCUCCAAAAGAGUAACAAGGUAAGACCUUCAGUAAGUCGAAUUGAGGAAAAAAGACAAACUAGAAGUAAACAUUAGCAAUGUGAGUAAAUGAAGACAGACAUGGAGAUCAAAUAACUUGCACAAGUUAUUCAAAAUUUUCAGAAAAUUUAGAAGAAAUGGAUACUCCUCUAUCUAAAAACAUAGCUAAAAUUGGCUCAAAGGGAGGGAAAAAACUUAUAAACCCAAGAUUACAAAAGCAAUAGUAAAAGUAGUCAAAAGAUCUCUCUCUCAAAAGUUAACAGUUCAAGAUCCUGCCGUACAGCACAGGGAACUGUAUCUAGUCACUUGUGAUGGAACAUGAUGGAGGAUAAUGUGAGAAAAAGAAUACACAGGGGUGUGGGUGUGUGUGUGUGUGUGUGUGUGUGUGUGUGUGUGUGUGUGUGACUGGGUCACGUUGCUGUCCAGGAGAAACUUGACAGAACACUGUAAACCAACUAUAAUGGAAAGAAUAAAGAUCAUUAAAAAAAAGUUAACAGUUCACAUGGUUUUAUAAAUAAGUACUAUCAAAUUUAAGAAACCAACACUGUCUAUGUUAUAAAAACUCUUUCAGAGCAUAGGCAAAUUUAGACUCCCUAACCCAUCUAUCUCAUGGGGACGCCAACUUGGAUACCAAAUCCAGACACACAUCGCAGAAGAGAGUAAAGGCCAAUGUCACUAAUAGAUACAUAUGAAAAUAGUUUCAAUGAAACAGAAGCAAAUCAACUUCCUAGUAUUAAGAAGCACAUCAUGAUUAAAGAGAAAUUUAAGGAUGGUUCGAUGUGUAAAAUUCCUUUAAUAGAUCUUAUUAACGUCAACAGAUUAAAGGAGUCACAUGACAAUCUCAACAGAGGCAGGAGAAACAUUCUGCUAAGAUCAAGAAUAUUUUUUACUAAAAAAACUUAUAACAACUCUUAUCCAAUAAGAAAUAAACUGUUUCUAUAAGAAACUUCCAGCAAAACUAUAUUUAAUGAUCAAAUAAAAGUAUCCCCGAAUACAGUCAGGAGCAAGAGAGAAAUGCCAACUAUCACCACUAAUGUUCAAGAUUGAGCCGGAGAUCUUGGACAACGUAAGAACGCAAGAAAAAGACUGGGAUAAAUACUUGAAAGCAAGAGAUAAAUUUCACAAUUUGCAGAUGCUACUGACUGGCUACUGAGAAAUGUCAAGAGAACUGACAGAAGAACGUAUUGGACGUCUAUGAUAGAGUUCAGCAAUGCGAGAAGAUGAAGGAGACUGCCGCACAGAGAGUCAGCACCCCUUUCUAUCUGCCACGUGCACUGAGAAAAGCUGGCAAAACUCCAUUCACAGUAGCAACCAAAACAAGCACACAGAAAUUAAAUUUUAAACGCCUAAUUCUUUAUAAAGAAACAGUAAGACUCUCCUGCAAGACAUAAAAGAUACAUGGAAAACAUACCGUGUUCCUAAAAAAGACUCAUAUUUUCCAACUUCCACAAAUUACCUUCCUUUUUUUCUCCUUCUCUUGUCUUUUUAGGGCCACACCCAUGGCAUAUGGAGCAGCCCAAGAAAUGGCAAAAAGACAAAAAAAAAAAAAAAAAAAAAAAGAAAAAGAAAAAGAUCUCAGUGGACCAGAUUUAACAGUAACCAAGAAAAUUACUAAACUGGAAGACGGGCCAAAAGACACUACCUAGAAUACAACAUCAAGAGACAAAGAGAGAGAAAACAGUGGUUGUGGUGAGGAUUUAUCACAUAUUUAACUGGAGUUCCAAGAGAACCAGGAGAGAGAAAACGAGACAGAAGAGGAGUUUACAGAUAAAGGCUCCGAGAAUUCCAGAAGCCCAGCAGAGAUUCCAAACCUGACAAUGACAAAAAAGACAUCCCCAUCAAGACAUUUUAUAGUAAAACUUCAGAAGACCAGAGAUAAAGAUAAAUACCUUGAAAGCAGCCAGAAAACAUCGGACAGCUUAUUUUAAAAUGAGCAACAGCUGAACUUGCGAAAUGAGGCAGAACAUGGUGGACAAUAACUUCAAUACGCAGGAGGAAAACAACCGCCAACUUAGAGAGACUUCCACGCCCAAUGAAAACAUCCUCCAAGAGUUACACGAAUACAGGCAUCUUUAGACAAAGCGCAUUUGGGAAAUUUAGAAGGAGGAAUUGGGUUACAUUUAAGAACUGUUCAUCAACAGUCACUGUAGCAUAAGCAGGGGAGCAGAAUGACAAAGCCGAAGUUAACUUACAGCACCCUGGCCUAAGGAUCAGUGGCAUUCAGAAGAGGGAAUAUGAAAGACAGACACCCCGACAGAAAAAGAUGGGCAACCGGUCAAGGCAUUUCUCAAGACGGGAAAUUUAAGUGGCCAAGAAACAAACGUAAGAAAAGACCACCAGCCUCACCAGGAUCAGGGAAACAGGAAGUAAAUUCACAGCGACACAGCAUCAACACUCGCCAGCCAGCAAAAGUUUUCGGGUCCGAUGAUAGAAUCAGUGAAGACAGGGAGGGAAAACUUCAUGAACCACCUCCUUGUGGGAGUAUCAGUGUACAGUCAUCUUGGAAAACAGCUGGGCCUUGUCUGAGAAGCACACACUCUGGGACCAAGAUAUUCCAUUCCUUGGCAUGUACCCUGGAGAAACUUGCAGAUGUUUUUUAAAAAGACACAGACAAGAAUUGUUAUAGAUUCACAGCUCUUAAAAUAACCCAAAUGUUUAUCAAUAAUAAAGAUGAAUAAUUAAACAGUGUCAUGUAUAGACAUAUAACACUAUACGAGGAAAAUGAAUCACCUAUAGCUAUACCCAAAAUAGAGAUGAAAUUCAAAGACAACAUUAACCCAAAGUGGCAAGUCACAAAAGAAUACAUGUGGUAUAAUUCCACUUCCGUAAAAUACAAAACAGGCAAAACUAAGCUACAUGCGUGCAGACGAGGUCAAGCUGUUAAAAAGAACAAACAAACGAUUAUUACAAAAGUCAGAAUAGUGGUAAUGGGAGAGAGCGAAUUUAAUUGGGGUGGAAAACCUGGAGCUUUCUGGGGGUGCCGGCAAUGUUCUACAUCUUAUUCUUAUAGUAAUUAAAAUAUUUCCUUAAAUGGCAAUAUGUUUAUAUACUUUAUCUCAAAAAAUAAUCUGGCAGGAGGCAAUUUGUGCAAACUUUAAAAACUGGGGGUAUUUACAAUACUUAAAGAAAUCUGGCCUAUUAGACUAACAAUUCAGCUUUCUAAAUUCAUUUUAAAAUGCAUAGUUGAGUAAUCAACUUUGACAUGUAAUUUUUAAGUAAAAUGUUACUAAGUUAUAGGAGGCACUGAAAUAUUCAAGUGAACUCAAGGUUCUACAUAUUUAUUAAGAGCUUAAGUUAUUAUAUUUUUAGGAGAGAUAUUUAGUACUUGAGAAGGUUUUAAAUCAGGGUACUUAGAUUCUUGAAAUGGUAACAAUAUAUUGACUUUAUAAAUGAAGUCUAAAAUAUUUCUUGGUUUUAAGCUGUAAAUGGGAUUACUUAUUAUCUAAAAGCUUCUUACUUAAGGUAUUUGCUAAAAUUUGCCAAAUUCAUCAGUAGAAAAAUAAAAUUCCAGAGGUUGACUUGAAUAGUUUAAGAAAGAACUAACUCUUUGGGUUUCUAUCUUUAAGUCAAAUACUAAUUUUUAAAAGCUAAUAAUCUUUUUCUACCAACUUGUUUGUAAGAUGCAAAACAAUUCACACUAUCUCUUUUCCCUACCAUAUAAAAACAACAACCAAAAAACCUAUGCCGGAAGAUUUUGGGGGUACGUUUCAAUUAGAAUUUGUCUAGGAUUAUAAUAAAAAGUAUAAACCACCUGAUAGCUGAUAUAACAAAGAAUACUCUCAAAGUAGGUAUUCUUUACUUUGGGGGGUGGGGAAGUCACAGCCCAACCUGAGUACCUGACAAGUGCUAUGGAACUCACAGAAGGAUGCAUCUUGAUACACAAAGAAACUUCUGGAAUAAAUAAAAUAUUCAAAGAUGUCUUGAAAAGACUACAAGAGUGUAAGGACCCACUCUCUCUCAUACCACUGGCCAAUUACAAAAUCACAGUUGAAGUUAUUUUAGGAACAGCAUCUAGUAAAACGUUCAUAUGUGUUUUUAUGUUUUCAAGUCAGACAGUUAAUGCCUUUGUGGUAAAAAGUUUACUUAUUUUGUUUUCAUUUGUCACUUAGAGAUGGAUAAAGUAUUACUUUUUACCUAUUAAAUAAGCAAAGUUUUUAAAAAAUAUAUUGGCAGGGGUGAGAGGAAUUGUAAGACAUUAUCAUACACCACAGGCAGGAAUACAUAGUUCCAUGGCCUUCCUGUGAAACAAUCUGGAAGUUCAUAUAAAAACUACAACUAAAAACUUAUCUUAACACCAUCACCUUGGAUGUGUACAAUAUAUUGCAAGAAUGUUCAUCAAAAGCGUUUCUUCUAAUACCUAAUUAAAAUGACCAGCAAAUGGAGGGGUAAAUAACACGUACUGCAAUGGAACAUGAUGCCAGAAGUUAAAGUAUAUUUAAGAACAGUAUUUAGUGGUAUGAAAAUGCUCGUGGAUCUACUGCUAAGAGAAUAAAGGAUUACUUUCUCCAUUGCGUGAUCUCAUUUUUUUUUAAGAAGGAAAAGCCUCUAUACAACACAAAAAAGACUAGAAUGGGUCUAUGACAAAUUUUUAAUGUGGCGGAAGUCCAUGUAUUUCUCUUUUUCUAGUCUUAAAGUGUAAUAACAAGGAAAAAACUCAGUAAUUUAUUAGAUUACAUCCCCUGUUUAUCUUGACUUCUGACUUACUGUAAGAAUGAAGUAUCAAUUCUCUGAGUUUUACUUAUUACUGUUGUUACCUAAGCACUUAAAAGCAUUAUUCAGUUAUGUGUGGUAAUUAAGAAAAACCAAGAUGUACCACGUCUAUAAUGUAGGGUAAAGAACCAAGAAACUCUAAGUUAUGAGCUAUCGACUGAACCUGACUGACUCUCAAAAUAAGAAAACAAGUUCCCAUGGCUGAAAUAAAUUUGACAGCUACUUUCUAUACCAGGGGCGAAUGCUGAUUACAGCCCAUGAUUUGAAAUAUCACUGAUGCUGACUAGUUUUGGUCACGUUAGAGGUGGUCUAUCCAGUGGGAGAUAAUACAAAAUAAAUAGUUGGUCUUUGUCCCUGGUUCCUGGCACGCAUCUCCUAAAACCCUUGAAAUCUCCAAAGUGAUGAGGAGAUGACUGGGGCUGGGGGCCCUCGAAGCGUCAGGAUGGGAGUGGCUCACCAUAGACACCAAGGCAUGAUUACAGGGUUCGAGCUUUCCGUCCCACCGACCUCACAAAACCUCCAGGGAGAGGAAAGGAGCUAGAGUUAAUCACCAAUGGCCAAUUACUUAAUCAGUUGUGCCUCCGUAACGAAAGCUCCAGAGUAACCCCCUACGGGUUGGGCUUCUGGGUGGGUGAGCACAUCAAGCUGCUGGGAGGCUGGUGUACCCCGAGAGGGCACCAAAGCUCCGUGCCACCCCCUUUCCAGCAUACCCUGCCCUAGGCAUCUCUUCUAUUUUCCUGAGUUAGAGGCUUUAUAAACCUGGUGACGGCAAGUACUUUUUUGAGUUCUGUGAGCCAUUCUAGCAAACUGCGGAACCUGAAGAGGAGGUCAUGGGAGCC